UAAAAUGAGAGUUUGAUCCUGGCUCAGGACGAACGCUGGCGGCGUGCCUAAUACAUGCAAGUCGAACGAAACUUUCUUACACCGAAUGUUUGCAUUCACCGUAAGAAGUUGAGUGGCGGACGGGUGAGUAACACGUGGGUAACCUGCCUAAAAGAAGGGGAUAACACUUGGAAACAGGUGCUAAUACCGUAUAUCUCUAAGGAUCGCAUGAUCCUUAGAUGAAAGAUGGUUCUGCUAUCGCUUUUAGAUGGACCCGCGGCGUAUUAACUAGUUGGUGGGGUAACGGCCUACCAAGGUGAUGAUACGUAGCCGAACUGAGAGGUUGAUCGGCCACAUUGGGACUGAGACACGGCCCAAACUCCUACGGGAGGCAGCAGUAGGGAAUCUUCCACAAUGGACGCAAGUCUGAUGGAGCAACGCCGCGUGAGUGAAGAAGGUCUUCGGAUCGUAAAACUCUGUUGUUAGAGAAGAACACGAGUGAGAGUAACUGUUCAUUCGAUGACGGUAUCUAACCAGCAAGUCACGGCUAACUACGUGCCAGCAGCCGCGGUAAUACGUAGGUGGCAAGCGUUGUCCGGAUUUAUUGGGCGUAAAGGGAACGCAGGCGGUCUUUUAAGUCUGAUGUGAAAGCCUUCGGCUUAACCGGAGUAGUGCAUUGGAAACUGGAAGACUUGAGUGCAGAAGAGGAGAGUGGAACUCCAUGUGUAGCGGUGAAAUGCGUAGAUAUAUGGAAGAACACCAGUGGCGAAAGCGGCUCUCUGGUCUGUAACUGACGCUGAGGUUCGAAAGCGUGGGUAGCAAACAGGAUUAGAUACCCUGGUAGUCCACGCCGUAAACGAUGAAUGCUAGGUGUUGGAGGGUUUCCGCCCUUCAGUGCCGCAGCUAACGCAAUAAGCAUUCCGCCUGGGGAGUACGACCGCAAGGUUGAAACUCAAAGGAAUUGACGGGGGCCCGCACAAGCGGUGGAGCAUGUGGUUUAAUUCGAAGCAACGCGAAGAACCUUACCAGGUCUUGACAUCCUUUGACCACCUAAGAGAUUAGGCUUUCCCUUCGGGGACAAAGUGACAGGUGGUGCAUGGCUGUCGUCAGCUCGUGUCGUGAGAUGUUGGGUUAAGUCCCGCAACGAGCGCAACCCUUGUUGUCAGUUGCCAGCAUUAAGUUGGGCACUCUGGCGAGACUGCCGGUGACAAACCGGAGGAAGGUGGGGACGACGUCAAGUCAUCAUGCCCCUUAUGACCUGGGCUACACACGUGCUACAAUGGACGGUACAACGAGUCGCGAGACCGCGAGGUUUAGCUAAUCUCUUAAAGCCGUUCUCAGUUCGGAUUGUAGGCUGCAACUCGCCUACAUGAAGUCGGAAUCGCUAGUAAUCGCGAAUCAGCAUGUCGCGGUGAAUACGUUCCCGGGCCUUGUACACACCGCCCGUCACACCAUGAGAGUUUGUAACACCCAAAGCCGGUGGGGUAACCGCAAGGAGCCAGCCGUCUAAGGUGGGACAGAUGAUUGGGGUGAAGUCGUAACAAGGUAGCCGUAGGAGAACCUGCGGCUGGAUCACCUCCUUU
This 1562-nucleotide ribosomal RNA is filed under the name Ligilactobacillus salivarius. Its description in RNAcentral is "bacterial SSU rRNA". It matches the Rfam family "Bacterial small subunit ribosomal RNA". The record is from RNAcentral. Lineage: Bacteria; Bacillati; Bacillota; Bacilli; Lactobacillales; Lactobacillaceae.